UCAAUCUCUAAGCAUAUGGAGAAUGACUGCCAAGAAGAUCUACUAAACAAACAUAUCUGAUAUCACCUAAUAGCUGAGGCUGGUGAAAGAGUCCUGCCUAAUCUUCUGAGAUUAACCAUGGCUUCCAUUAUCUGGAAUUUUCAGCAAACCAACAGGGAAGAGGAAAGCUCCUCAGUGAAGACCAAGAGCAUGCCAUUGUAGGAUUGGUCAUUGCUGACAAUGCAAUAAAACUGAGAAAAAAUCAUACCUGAAUUGUAGAGGACAACCUGGUAUUUCACAACGUGGAAAGCAUCAGCCUGAUUACCACUGGCUCGGACUCUGACCAAACACAGUUUGAAUGAAACAGUUGUGCACAGUUCCUUUUGAAAGGAACAGUGAGCGGGUCAAGGAUCUCCGGCACCAAUACGUCCAGAAAGUUGUGGAGUUGGAGGCUAAUCAGACCCCACAUUAAAUCAUUUAUGUAGACGAGGCAGGGUUUAACCUGGCAGAAACAUGGAGGCGGGGAAGAAACGUAAUCGGGAAAAGGGCCACCGUUGACGUGCCGGGUCAGAGAGGAACAAGUAUCAUAAUGUGUGCUGCAAUCCCGAGUGCUGGUUUGGUCCUGCAGAAAUGCCAGAUUGGUUCCUACAAUACUGAGCGCCUUCUUUUUUUUUUUUUUAAUCUUUUUUUUUUAGAUGACCUUGACCAACAACUGGUGCCAGAAGCAGGAAGGGAACAGGUGGGAGGAAACAUGAGGACAUUUGUGAUUGCAUGGGACAAUGUAGCAUUCCACCAUUCACAUGCAAUCACAAACUGGUUCACCUCUUUCCUACUUCCC
Molecule: long non-coding RNA, 817 nt
Organism: Oncorhynchus gorbuscha (pink salmon)
Lineage: Eukaryota; Metazoa; Chordata; Actinopteri; Salmoniformes; Salmonidae
Exons: 4
Source: RefSeq, a predicted model, not a curated record